Ornithorhynchus anatinus (platypus) is the source of this 72-nucleotide non-coding RNA. Lineage: Eukaryota; Metazoa; Chordata; Mammalia; Monotremata; Ornithorhynchidae. The record is from Rfam.
AGCAGCGUGGCUCAGUGGAAAGAGCACGGGCUUUGUCGUCAGAGGUCAUGGGUUCGAAUCCCGGCUCUGCCA